CUAUACAUGACUCUGCGCAUAUCAAUAAGCGGAGGAAAAGAAACUAACAAGGGUUCCCCUAGUAACGGCGAGUGAAGCGGGAAGAGCUCAAAUUUGAAAUCUUAAAGGGUUUCCCUUUACGAAUUGUAGUUUAAAGAAGUGUUUUCUGUUGAGGUUUUGGUAAAAGUUCUUUGGAAUAGGACAUCAUAGAGGGUGAGAAUCCCGUAUUUGACCUUUACUUUCAACUUUGUGAUACACUUUCAAAGAGUCGGAUUGUUUGGGAAUGCAGUCCAAAAUGGGUGGUAAAUUUCAUCUAAAGCUAAAUAUUGGCGAGAGACCGAUAGCGAACAAGUACCGUGAGGGAAAGAUGAAAAGAACUUUGAAAAGAGAGUUAAACAGUACGUGAAAUUGUCAAAAGGGAAGCGUUUGACACCAGUGUUGUUUUUCUGAAAAUCAAUUAAAGAACUGUUUAUGCUAAGUUGUUUAGACUUUAUCAGCUAUCUGCCUAGUUUUGAGCUUUUCUUUAAUGCACUUUUCAGUUAACAAGUCAACAUCAAUUUCUUUUGCUGUAAAAAAGCUUGAGGAAGGUGGCUUGAGAUUCGUCUUAAGUGUUUAUAGCCUCUUGCCUAUGCAGUCGGAGAGAUUGAGGUCUGCAGCGUAGAUCCUUCGGGGCUAAAUGCAUUUGUGCUAAGUUAUAGCAUUUUAUAGACAACUUGUUGACUAUGAUUUGUCUUGUAGCUUACUCGCUUAUGUUAUUUUACCUACGCUUAGGAUGUUGAGCGCAUGUCUCUCUCU
RNAcentral lists this ribosomal RNA (774 nucleotides) under uncultured Neocallimastigales. Its description in RNAcentral is "partial large subunit ribosomal RNA". It matches the Rfam family "Eukaryotic large subunit ribosomal RNA", at positions 22 to 616 of the family's 3401-position model. The record is from RNAcentral. Lineage: Eukaryota; Fungi; Neocallimastigomycota; Neocallimastigomycetes; Neocallimastigales.